Long non-coding RNA from Esox lucius (northern pike), 445 nucleotides. The record is from Ensembl. NCBI's taxonomy places the organism in Eukaryota, Metazoa, Chordata, Actinopteri, Esociformes, Esocidae.
AAAUGCUAUAAAGAAUGCACAGGAGGAGUAUGAGGAACUGAAGAAGCGGAGAGAGGAGGAAGAAAAGGUCCUGGAGCUACUGAUGGAGAGGACUGAGGAGGUUGAGGAGGAGUUUGAGGAAAUAACUUCCAGGAAAAAGGAGGAGGAGAGGUUGUGUAAGGACCUGAAGACUAAGAUGGAUGAGGAGAAGAAGGAUUAUGAAUUUAUGAAGAGAGUAAGAGAGGAGAUGGAGUUGAACCUGAAUGAACCUCUGGUUCAGAACGAGCAACAGCAAAGAAGGCCGGUGAAAGAAGUGCAGACUAAGAUCCCUGCUGAUUAUGUGAAUCUGAAGGAGCUUCUGGAAGCUAGUCAGGAGGAUUGUGAGGAACUGAAAGAAAGAUUCAUGGAAGUUCUCUCAAGCCUGGACUUAGAGAGAAGUGAAAAUGCCAAGAAGCGAUCACAGCAC